AUUGAACGCUGGCGGCAGGCUUAACACAUGCAAGUCGAGCGGGGUGAUGGUGCUUGCACUAUCACUUAGCGGCGGACGGGUGAGUAAUGCUUAGGAAUCUGCCUAUUAGUGGGGGACAACAUCUCGAAAGGGAUGCUAAUACCGCAUACGUCCUACGGGAGAAAGCAGGGGAUCACUUGUGACCUUGCGCUAAUAGAUGAGCCUAAGUCGGAUUAGCUAGUUGGUGGGGUAAAGGCCUACCAAGGGGACGAUCUGUAGCGGGUCUGAGAGGAUGAUCCGCCACACUGGGACUGAGACACGGCCCAGACUCCUACGGGAGGCAGCAGUGGGGAAUAUUGGGCAAUGGGGGGAACCCUGAUCCAGCCAUGCCGCGUGUGUGAAGAAGGCCUUAUGGUUGUAAAGCACUUUAAGCGAGGAGGAGGCUCUUUUGGUUAAUACCAAGAUGAGUGGACGUUACUCGCAGAAUAAGCACCGGCUAACUCUGUGCCAGCCGCCGCCGUAA
RNAcentral lists this ribosomal RNA (502 nucleotides) under uncultured bacterium. Its description in RNAcentral is "partial 16S ribosomal RNA". It matches the Rfam family "Bacterial small subunit ribosomal RNA", at positions 30 to 523 of the family's 1533-position model. The record is from RNAcentral.